CUGGGAAUGGGGUUGGAUCCCUCCUUACCUUAAGAACCUGCCUGUUGUAGUGCUCACACAGAUUGUCUGAUGAAAAGUAAAUAGCAAGGCGUCUUGCGAUUGAGACUUCAGUGUCCCCUUCGUCUAGAGGCCCAGGACACCGCCCUUUCACGGCGGUAACAGGGGUUCGAAUCCCCUAGGGGACGCCACUUGCUGGUUCGUGAGUGAAAGUCACCUGCCUUAAUAUCUCAAAACUCAUCUUCGGGUGACGUUUGAGAUAUUUGCUCUUUAAAAAUCUGGAUCAAGCUGAAAAUUGAAACGACACACAUGUUAUGUGUGUUCGAGUCUCUCAAAUUUUCGCAAUUUGAUGGUGAAUCGAAAGAAACAUCUUCGGGUUGUGAGGUUAAGCGACUAAGCGUACACGGUGGAAGCCUUGGCA
Molecule: unclassified non-coding RNA, 418 nt
Filed under: Enterobacter cloacae
Lineage: Bacteria; Pseudomonadati; Pseudomonadota; Gammaproteobacteria; Enterobacterales; Enterobacteriaceae
Description: partial may contain 16S ribosomal RNA, 16S-23S ribosomal RNA intergenic spacer, and 23S ribosomal RNA
Rfam family: Salmonella enterica Typhi npcRNA 44 (bases 266-373)
Source: RNAcentral